GGGAUGGUAGCUCAGUGGUAGAGUGCUUGCCUUGCAUGCCUGAGGCCCUGGGUUCGAUUCCUCACCACCACA
RNAcentral lists this transfer RNA (72 nucleotides) under Dipodomys ordii (Ord's kangaroo rat). It matches the Rfam family "tRNA". Rfam says of the family: Transfer RNA (tRNA) molecules are approximately 80 nucleotides in length. Their secondary structure includes four short double-helical elements and three loops (D, anti-codon, and T loops). Lineage: Eukaryota; Metazoa; Chordata; Mammalia; Rodentia; Heteromyidae. The record is from Rfam by way of RNAcentral.